This 614-nucleotide long non-coding RNA is filed under the name Homo sapiens (human). RNAcentral describes it as "non-protein coding lnc-MRPL32-2:1". The record is from RNAcentral. Lineage: Eukaryota; Metazoa; Chordata; Mammalia; Primates; Hominidae.
AAGUGAUCCAGUGACACAUCUCUCAGUAUGCUCCAGUCCAAAUUUGACAAGAAAUAGGUUUCCUCAAGAAGAGCGCCAGCCACAGUUCUGGAGUAUCUGUUCCUAGACGGAGGUGAAUGCACUAGAUGAAGUGCAUGAACCUGAACAACUUGAGGGAAGGACAGUAGUAGAUGCUGGGCUGCUGUCAAGAUCCCCCUUACAGUUGGGGCACCCAUUCAUCCAGCUGCCCGGGUUGUUGAAGGGUAGUGAUGGCUCUCAGAUGACUCCCUGUCCUGAAAUAUCCUCAGCCAAGGGAAACUGACUCAUCUAAAAUUUUGCCCCCUCCCUGGGCACAGGCUGCACCCAUGACUAGUCUUUCUGGGGACACAAAGACUUGAUUCCCUUGUCUCAAUUGAGACAAUUCUCACGGCUGUCUCAAGUCCAGAGCUCCCUGUCAGCCUCUGUUGAAACUGUAUUGCAAUUCAACUGCUCCAUUUGCCAAGUUCUGCCUUUGCUUCUCCCUUUGCCCCAUUCUCAUCUUUCAAGAUCUUUACUCGAUAAAUAUUUUGCAUAAAAAGCUCAGGGUUGUGGAGUCUGUUUUCCAGGAAACUUGCAAUACAACAGAUGGGUAAACG